GACAGAGGGUGCAAACGUUUGUUCGGAUUUACUGGGCGUAAAGCGCGUGUAGGCGGCUUUGCAAGUCGGAUGUGAAAGCCCACGGCUCAACCGUGGAAGUGCAUCCGAAACUGCAUGGGCUGGAGUCUCGGAGAGGAAGGUGGAAUGCUUGGUGUAGAGGUGAAAUUCGUAGAUAUCAAGCAGAACACCUGCGGCGAAGGCGGCCUUCUGGACGAUGGACUGACGCUGAGACGCGAAAGCGUGGGGAGCAAACAGG
Molecule: ribosomal RNA, 256 nt
Filed under: uncultured bacterium
Lineage: Bacteria
Description: partial 16S ribosomal RNA
Rfam family: Bacterial small subunit ribosomal RNA
Source: RNAcentral